Molecule: ribosomal RNA, 692 nt
Filed under: uncultured beta proteobacterium
Lineage: Bacteria; Pseudomonadati; Pseudomonadota; Betaproteobacteria
Description: bacterial SSU rRNA
Rfam family: Bacterial small subunit ribosomal RNA
Source: RNAcentral
AACGGUAACAGGUCUUCGGAUGCUGACGAGUGGCGAACGGGUGAGUAAUACAUCGGAACGUGCCCGAGAGUGGGGGAUAACGAAGCGAAAGCUUUGCUAAUACCGCAUACGAUCUCAGGAUGAAAGCAGGGGACCGCAAGGCCUUGCGCUCACGGAGCGGCCGAUGGCAGAUUAGGUAGUUGGUGGGAUAAAAGCUUACCAAGCCGACGAUCUGUAGCUGGUCUGAGAGGACGACCAGCCACACUGGGACUGAGACACGGCCCAGACUCCUACGGGAGGCAGCAGUGGGGAAUUUUGGACAAUGGGCGCAAGCCUGAUCCAGCCAUGCCGCGUGCAGGAUGAAGGCCUUCGGGUUGUAAACUGCUUUUGUACGGAACGAAAAGACUCUGGUUAAUACCUGGGGUCCAUGACGGUACCGUAAGAAUAAGCACCGGCUAACUACGUGCCAGCAGCCGCGGUAAUACGUAGGGUGCGAGCGUUAAUCGGAAUUACUGGGCGUAAAGCGUGCGCAGGCGGUUAUGUAAGACAGAUGUGAAAUCCCCGGGCUCAACCUGGGAACUGCAUUUGUGACUGCGUAGCUAGAGUACGGCAGAGGGGGAUGGAAUUCCGCGUGUAGCAGUGAAAUGCGUAGAUAUGCGGAGGAACACCGAUGGCGAAGGCAAUCCCCUGGGCCUGUACUGACGCUCAUGCAC